Caretta caretta (loggerhead turtle) is the source of this 2722-nucleotide long non-coding RNA. RefSeq lists it as uncharacterized. NCBI's taxonomy places the organism in Eukaryota, Metazoa, Chordata, Testudines, Cheloniidae. The record is from RefSeq and is a predicted model, not a curated record.
GUGUGAGGUGGCCCGGCGGGCUCCCUCACUUUCUUAAAACAUCAUUUUUCUUACACGUCAUGUUUUAAUUUUUUCAAAAGCAAUUGAAAAAAUAUAAAUUGUACCAGGCUGACCCCACCUCCGUUGUCCGAUUUGCCCUUUUGAUCCAGCCUCCAAACUUCUGCCACUGAGGCGAAGGGAAUAAUUGGUAGUGGUAGUAGACUGUCACCCUGUGUGUGAACCUGCUGCUGUCCCAAGGGGUUUUCCUAGAUAAUCUGCAGACAGCAGUGGAAUAUUAGAGUCCCUCCUCCACGCCACAGAGGCACUAGGCCGUCUGGCUAAAAUGGCUGUAAGAUUUUUUGUAAAGAUGGGCAAAACGAUGUAUUUUUCCGUAACCUCAUUCUCAGAAGCAGAUGAACCAUUUGAGCUGGAUCUUUCCGAACUCCUUAUCUUGACGCAUACACCUGGCUGGCAUAGAAAAUUUCAGCCCAAUCUGCUAAAGUUGGCAAAGUUAUUAAAAAAAAUGGAAACGUGGUCUUAUAAUGUGCAGUGUUGGGCAACCUUAACUAACCACAGUACUGCUGUAACCUAUGUGCCUAACAGGGAGAUUUCAGAGUAGCAGCUGUGUUAGUCUGUAUCCGCAAAAAGAAAAGGAGGACUUGUGGCACCUUCCAGACGCCUUUUCUUUUUAAUAGGGAGAUAUCUCUUUAAGAGAUCCAUUGGGGGAGGUAGGAAUGAGCUGUGUCUGGGUCAUUGUUGCAAGGCGGAUUAAGCACACCACAUCCAGAAGCUUCUGGAAUUUGGUGUGGUAGUUUUGGGUCUGCUCCAAUAGGUUCCCUGUUGCUGGAGUCAGACUCCAGGGGCAGCUGCUUUGUAGAAGGCCACGUGCCCUGGGUGAGUUGAGAGAAGCUGAGACUAGGAGCCGGAAGCAGGCUGGUGUCCCUACUGCUGAAGCAUUUUGCAGCUGGGUUUUCUUUAAAUCUAAACACUUAACAGAGUGAUUGGUUAAUCUGUUAGCUGACUGGCUAGCAGUGAUUUCAGCAGAGGAAGUCUGCAUGGAUUCCAACUGAAGAUUCCUACAAGCAAGUGGAGAAAAGAUGUUGUUUUAGACUCAGCAGACGGUAUAGAUCCUGUAGCAUCUUAAAUUUGUUAAGUCUCUAGGGUGCCACAAGGAUGCCUCGGUUUUUGUUUUGUUUUUUUGCUGAUACAGACUAACACGGCUGCCACUGAAACCUUUAUAGAUCUUGGUGACCAAAGACUCUAACUUACACAUAGGUGAACAAAACCUAAGCUUUUGGGAGCUCUGUUUCUUCUCUCUCUAUUUCUGUGGGCAUUGAACCAUUCCAUUUUAAUUUGUUUUCUUUAUUUAUGUAUAACUGUGAAGAUAAUGUCUGUCGAUUAUAAAAUCUUAUGAUAAAGAAACAAAUAAUAUAAUGUUUACAGCAUGACAUAGUUAUUUUAUAAAGUUAUUUAAUUAAAUUCAUUUCUUUAGUUCCUUUUGGGACUCGAAUGGGUGGAGGUUGACCCUGUGCAAUCCUUGCUAGAAAUCCUUAGAGACUGAACUCUGGGUCUCCAGCUACUUUCUGUAGGAGUUGGGGGGUUUUUUUUAGUCACUGGAGAUAGGAAAUGAAGUGAACUCUACCCCACCCAAAGGUUACACUACCAGCCAUGCUACUGACUCUGUCUGUAAUACUGUUCUAACUCUAGAUAUUCUUGCUUUUCAUAUACUUGUCUAAUACCUUCUUAAAUCCUACAAAGCUCUUGCUGUCAGUGAUAUUUUUCACAAUGAUUCCACAGACUAAUUGUGUGUUGUAUGAAAAAGGAUCAUAGUGGAGCAACAGCACCACUCUAGAUAUGAAUGAGAUUAAUUUACUGUUCAACAGUUGAUUUUUCUAAGUGCUCUAAAAUCCUUGUGCUUACUCUGCAAGCCCGAAAAUUGGCUGUAGCUCAUUGGGGCAAUGUGUAGGGUUAGUAGUCAAAAUUUAGGGUCAUUUGAGCACUUGGGAGUCCCCAAAUAAAGCCCUCACCAAAACAUCAUGUGACAUCAGCGUAUGGAGAAUUGUUAUAACGGUAAUGUCUGAUGCAUAAUUUGGACAGUAAGAUUGUAUUCGGGCUGGCUUCAGCCUACUUUUCUUGACAGGAGUGUAACAUUGCCUUAGUGACCUUGUUGUUAUUAUGUAUAACUGCUGUGUAGGACAAAGGGGAAGUUUUGGCCACUGUGCUUAAAUUGAAGGACAACAGACACACAAAAUGUGCUGCCAAAAGGCAUUUAGGGAAAAGACAAGUAGAGAAAAACAGGAAAGUCCCAAAAAGUCCCUAUGGCCCUAUGCAGACAAAAGGGUCAAAGUGACCUGGUUAAAUAUGCAUAAUCAGCGUGUAAUCAGUAGUAAUAAACCAAUUAGAAAAGAGACAUAACAUGAAAAAAGCAAGGACAGCAACAGUCAUGCCAAUUGAAGUUUAUGCAUACUUAUUUUAUGAGUUGCAUAAGAUAUAGAUAUAUAUAAAAUAUUCAUGAUAAUGGUAAUUGCAAAAAACUAAUGAAUAUGUAAUUUGGCAGUGUAUAAAAUGUGGUUAAUUGUAAGAGGUAGUCAAAGCUUUGUAGAAAAAAAAUCCAUUAUGACUUGCCUGUGCCCCAGAAAAAGGUAACUGGCCAUUUCCUUUUUCUGUAUGUCUGUCAUUUCUUACUGUAAUAGUAAUUUUGGUUCGAACAAAGGUUUGAAUUAAUAAACCUGAGUGUCUCAAA